This 302-nucleotide ribosomal RNA is filed under the name Bolbonota sp. CPL-2004c. RNAcentral describes it as "partial 12S small subunit ribosomal RNA". The record is from RNAcentral. Lineage: Eukaryota; Metazoa; Arthropoda; Insecta; Hemiptera; Membracidae.
CUUGAAUAAAAGUAGUUAAGUUCUUCAUAACUCAAAGAAUUUGGCGGUUAAUGGAAUUUUCAGAGGAACCUGUAAUUUAAUUGAUAAACCACGAUAGUUUUUACCUUUUAUUUAUUUGUAUAUCUCUAUGGCUAUAGAAUGUUUUAAAAGAAAAUUUUCUUUUAGAUUAUUCAUUUAUUUUAGGUCAAGGUGCAGUUUUUAUUAGGUUAUUAUGGGUUACUUUAUUUUUUAGUUUAUUAUUAAUAAUUUUAUAAUUAAUAGGAUCUGAAAGUAAAGUGAAUUAAUUAAUUUGUUUGAAUUUU